GACGAACGCUGGCGGCGUGCCUAAUACAUGCAAGUCGAGCGAAGUUUUUCUGGUGCUUGCACUAGAACAACUUAGCGGCGAACGGGUGAGUAACACGUAAAGAACCUGCCUCAUAGACUGGGACAACUAUUGGAAACGAUAGCUAAUACCGGAUAACAGUAUUUCUCGCAUGAGAGAUAUUUAAAAGUUGGUUAUGCUAACACUAUGAGAUGGCUUUGCGGUGCAUUAGCUAGUUGGUGGGGUAAAGGCCCACCAAGGCGACGAUGCAUAGCCGACCUGAGAGGGUGAUCGGCCACACUGGGACUGAGACACGGCCCAGACUCCUACGGGAGGCAGCAGUAGGGAAUCUUCCGCAAUGGGCGAAAGCCUGACGGAGCAGCGCCGCGUGAGUGAAGAAGGAUUUCGGUUCGUAAAGCUCUGUUGUUAGGGAAGAAUGGAUAUGUAGUAACUAUACAUGUAAGAGACGGUACCUAACCAGAAAGCCACGGCUAACUACGUG
This 499-nucleotide ribosomal RNA is filed under the name uncultured bacterium. RNAcentral describes it as "partial 16S ribosomal RNA". It matches the Rfam family "Bacterial small subunit ribosomal RNA", at positions 28 to 507 of the family's 1533-position model. The record is from RNAcentral.